RNAcentral lists this ribosomal RNA (254 nucleotides) under uncultured bacterium. Its description in RNAcentral is "partial 16S ribosomal RNA". It matches the Rfam family "Bacterial small subunit ribosomal RNA", at positions 524 to 776 of the family's 1533-position model. The record is from RNAcentral.
UACGGGGGGAGCAAGCGUUGUUCGGAUUUACUGGGCGUAAAGGGCGCGUAGGCGGCCACCGCAAGUCGACUGUGAAAUCUCCGGGCUUAACCCGGAAAGGUCAGCCGAUACUGCGGGGCUAGAGUGCAGAAGGGGCAACUGGAAUUCUCGGUGUAGCGGUGAAAUGCGUAGAUAUCGAGAGGAACACCAGCGGCGAAGGCGGGUAGCUGGGCCAACACUGACGCUGAUGCGCGAAAGCCAGGGUAGCAAACGGG